This 569-nucleotide ribosomal RNA is filed under the name uncultured bacterium. RNAcentral's name for it is "partial 16S ribosomal RNA". The record is from RNAcentral.
CAGCUCGNGUUACUCGCCGAAUGCACCUAGCAGCUUUAAUUUGAUCAUGGCCUCAGAAUUGNACGNUGGGUUACAGUGCCUAACACAUGCAAGUCGAAGCGGCAUGCACAAGGUGAGUUUACUCCUGAUGUGUCGGCGAGCGGCGGACGGUGUGAGGUAAUGCCUAGUGGACUCUUGCCCAUGGUCGAAGCGGGGGUAACAGUUGGAACAGCGACUGCUAACUAUCCCGCUAUACUGCCGCUACGUGGGUGAAGAUGAGGGGUGACCUUCUGUGGCCUCUCGCGAUUUUGUGNACUUGAAGCCCGUAGNGGUGGGGAAUUAUGACGUAUGGUUUGGUUGAUGGUGUACACUGUGGCUCACCAAAAAGACGACCGAUCCCGUAUGCUGAUUCUUGAUGGAGUGAUUGACUCCAGGCUCAGCACCUUGGGGGACUUGAGACACGGNCCCGGGUACUCCCUAACGCGGGAGGGCCAAGGCGAAGAUGUGCGGCAGACUACUUGCGAACACAGAUGCGAGCGCGNACAGAACCCCCCUGAUUGCAAGGCCCAUUGUCGCUUGCUGNUUGUUGA